UGUCCUACGGGGGGCAGCAGUCGAGAAUCAUUCACAAUGGGGGAAACCCUGAUGGUGCGACGCCGCGUGGGGGAAUGAAGGUCUUCGGAUUGUAAACCCCUGUCAUGUGGGAGCAAAUUAAAAAGAUAGUACCACAAGAGGAAGAGGCGGCUAACUCUGUGCCAGCAGCCGCGGUAAUACAGAGGUCUCAAGCGUUGUUCGGAAUCACUGGGCGUAAAGCGUGCGUAGGCUGUUUUGUAGGUCGUGUGUGAAAGGCGCGGGCCCACCCCGGGGACGGCAC
This 280-nucleotide ribosomal RNA is filed under the name uncultured bacterium. Its description in RNAcentral is "partial 16S ribosomal RNA". It matches the Rfam family "Bacterial small subunit ribosomal RNA", at positions 335 to 626 of the family's 1533-position model. The record is from RNAcentral.